UACGGGGGGGAGCAAGCGUUGUUCGGAUUUACUGGGCGUAAAGGGCGCGUAGGCGGCCACUGCAAGUCAGUUGUGAAAUCUCCGGGCUUAACCCGGAAAGGUCAACUGAUACUGCAGGGCUAGAGUGCAGAAGGGGCAACUGGAAUUCUCGGUGUAGCGGUGAAAUGCGUAGAUAUCGAGAGGAACACCUGCGGCGAAGGCGGGUUGCUGGGCCGAUACUGACGCUGAGGAGCGAAAGCGUGGGGAGCGAACAGG
Molecule: ribosomal RNA, 255 nt
Filed under: uncultured bacterium
Lineage: Bacteria
Description: partial 16S ribosomal RNA
Rfam family: Bacterial small subunit ribosomal RNA
Source: RNAcentral